This 834-nucleotide ribosomal RNA is filed under the name uncultured Alphaproteobacteria bacterium. RNAcentral describes it as "bacterial SSU rRNA". It matches the Rfam family "Bacterial small subunit ribosomal RNA", at positions 47 to 914 of the family's 1533-position model. Lineage: Bacteria; Pseudomonadati; Pseudomonadota; Alphaproteobacteria. The record is from RNAcentral.
CCUCAGACAUGCAAGUCGAACGAUUAAAGCUCCCUUCGGGGAGUGCAUAGAGUGCGCACGGGUGAGUAACACAUAAGUAAUCUACCCUCGAGUGGGGAAUAACAUCGGGAAACUGGUGCUAAUACCGGAUACGCCCUUCGGGGGAAAGAUUUAUUGCCGAUAGAUGGGCCCGCGUUGGAUUAGCUAGUUGGUGAGGUAACGGCUCACCAAGGCAACGAUCCAUAGCUGGUCUGAGAGGAUGAUCAGCAUCACUGGGACUGAGACACGGCCCAGACUCCUACGGGAGGCAGCAGUGGGGAAUAUUGGACAAUGGGGGCAACCCUGAUCCAGCCAUGCCGCGUGAAUGAUGAAGGCCUUCGGGUUGUAAAGUUCUUUUGGUGGGGACGAUGAUGACGGUACCCACAGAAUAAGCUCCGGCUAACUUCGUGCCAGCAGCCGCGGUAAUACGAAGGGAGCUAGCGUUGUUCGGAUUUACUGGGCGUAAAGGGCGCGUAGGCGGUUUGGCAAGUUGGAUGUGAAAGCCCUGGGCUCAACCCGGGAAUUGCAUUCAAAACUGCCUUACUUGAAUUCGGUAGAGGUUGGUAGAAUUCCCAGUGUAGAGGUGAAAUUCGUAGAGAUUGGGAAGAAUACCCGUGGCGAAGGCGGCCAACUGGACCGACAUUGACGCUGAGGCGCGAAAGCGUGGGUAGCAAACAGGAUUAGAUACCCUGGUAGUCCACGCCGUAAACGAUGCAUGCUAGACGUUAAAGCCGUCAGGUUUUAGUGUCGCAGCUAACGCACUAAGCAUGCCGCCUGGGGAGUACGGCCGCAAGGUUGAAACUCAAAUGAAUUGAC